RNAcentral lists this long non-coding RNA (222 nucleotides) under Lathyrus oleraceus (garden pea). RNAcentral describes it as "Pisum sativum (pea) long non-coding RNA (PSAT_LNC035221)". The record is from RNAcentral. Lineage: Eukaryota; Viridiplantae; Streptophyta; Magnoliopsida; Fabales; Fabaceae.
UGACACCAAAAGGAUGACAGUGGGAUUGGACUUUCCAAAGGUUACCAUCACCAAAAGGAUGAUAGCUUAAACCAGACUCCAUAACCUCUAUCACCCAAAAGGAUGAUAUUUAGAUCGAACUGGACUUCAUCACCAAAAGGAUGAUGUUUAGACAUAACAACAGAGAUUACCCUCAAUGGGAGGAUGAUGGUUGAACCAAAAUAACAAGGAUCCUUAUCACCA